RNAcentral lists this ribosomal RNA (215 nucleotides) under uncultured bacterium. Its description in RNAcentral is "partial 16S ribosomal RNA". It matches the Rfam family "Bacterial small subunit ribosomal RNA", at positions 147 to 354 of the family's 1533-position model. The record is from RNAcentral.
AACCUGGAAACAGAUGCUAAUACCGGAUAACAACACUAGACGCAUGUCUAGAGUUUAAAAGAUGGUUCUGCUAUCACUCUUGGAUGGACCUGCGGUGCAUUAGCUAGUUGGUGGGGUAACGGCUCACCAAGGCGACGAUACAUAGCCGACCUGAGAGGGUGAUCGGCCACACUGGGACUGAGACACGGCCCAGACUCCUACGGGAGGCAGCAGAG